ACAUAAGUAAGCACGUGGGAUAUGGGUGCAGUACCGCUGAGAAAUACUUUGUUGAAGUGUGAGCUGCACACUGGGCACAGCUAGAAAUAGCAUUGCAUAAGGGAUAUCACUUUGGGAGAAUUAGUUGAGAAACAGUAUCAGUAACAUCUUGAUGUGCAGUCUUGAAGGGAGUUUCUUCUACCUUCACCUACUUUUGUUUUGAAUUGAACUGCUCUUGUAUAAUUGUGAUUGCCUGCACUGAAUGAAUUGUUGAUUUUG
Molecule: long non-coding RNA, 258 nt
Filed under: Vigna radiata
Lineage: Eukaryota; Viridiplantae; Streptophyta; Magnoliopsida; Fabales; Fabaceae
Description: long non-coding RNA (VRAD_LNC018572)
Source: RNAcentral